Molecule: non-coding RNA, 402 nt
Organism: Kogia breviceps (pygmy sperm whale)
Lineage: Eukaryota; Metazoa; Chordata; Mammalia; Artiodactyla; Physeteridae
Source: RefSeq, a predicted model, not a curated record
UUUGGGUCAAGCGUUCUGUUUUUACCAAGUCAAAUCUAAGAUAUGUAUGAGAUCUCCAACAAGAGAUGCCAAGCCAAGAGCUGGAGAUGCAAAUUUGAGAGUCAUUAGCCUAAAGAUGGUUGCUUUAAGGAUAUGUUUUGGGAGCUACUACACACCAGGCACUGGGUUUACAGUGAAGAACAGAAUACACACGAUCCCUGUCCUCAAAGAGCUUCAGAGCUGGCACAAGAAAGGGAUGUUACAAGACUUCCUUGGUGGUCCAGUGGGUAAGACUCCACGCUCCCAAUGCAGGUGGCCCAGGUUCGAUCCCUGGUCAAGGAACUAGAUCCCACAUGCCUCAACUAAGAAUCCUGCAUGCUGCAAUGAAGAUUGAAGAUCACACAUGCUGCAACUAAGACCUGG